GUUUGACUCAAAGCGCCUGAACUGAGCGGGACGACAAUACGCUUAGUUGACGAGGAGGAGGUUUAUCGAUGAUUCGGCGGAUACCUCCCGGUUGCGGUACACAACUGUCAUGUUCCUCCUUAAAACAGCGGGGUAACCCGGAUGUACAAAGGGAGUGGACGUGUACCAUA
Molecule: non-coding RNA, 170 nt
Filed under: Domibacillus aminovorans
Lineage: Bacteria; Bacillati; Bacillota; Bacilli; Caryophanales; Bacillaceae
Description: Bacillus aminovorans GlcN6P sequence
Rfam family: glmS glucosamine-6-phosphate activated ribozyme aptamer
About the family: This entry contains a glucosamine-6-phosphate activated ribozyme that is found in the mRNA for GlmS. GlmS is an enzyme that uses fructose-6-phosphate and glutamine to generate glucosamine-6-phosphate. The ribozyme catalyses self cleavage of the glmS mRNA that is thought to regulate GlmS activity.
Source: RNAcentral